Molecule: non-coding RNA, 504 nt
Filed under: Oryza sativa Indica Group (long-grained rice)
Lineage: Eukaryota; Viridiplantae; Streptophyta; Magnoliopsida; Poales; Poaceae
Also listed under: 1 other name
Source: RNAcentral
GUUCACAUGACUCAGUGAGGUUCUUGCACGUUGCACGUUUUCGUCGCUUUUCUUUUCACGUUCUACCUAGUUAAUCUGUUCAUUUUCAGAUUAUCUUCCUCACUGUGAUGACUUUUCUUUUUGUUCUUAUUUGGGAGAAGGUUUUAUAAAGAGCCUUGGGAUUCAGAAAGGAAAGACUUAGGGUUGCAAGCGGGUCAACCCGUGAACCCGCUUAUAGGCAAAAUUAGUAGGUAACCCGUAUAAAUGAGUUUAUGGAUCGACCCACUUGCAUCUCUAAGUGCGGCAAAUCGGACCACGACGUGAAAACACACGGGUUAUCACUUAUUUUACAUAUAAGUAGGUUUGCGAGUUGGCCCGCUUGCAUCCCUAGAUGCCGUCUUAGCUCUUAACAAGCAUGGGAUUGGGGUGCUGCACGCCGCGGCAUGCCAGGGCCAUCUGAAUGUUUGCAAGUUCUUGGUGGAGGAAUUGGGGGGUGACGUGAAUAUUGCUGGAAAAGAAGGUCAU